CACGUAGGGUGCGAGCGUUGUCCGGAAUUAUUGGGCGUAAAGAGCUCGUAGGCGGUGUGUCGCGUCGGCCGUGAAAACCUGCAGCUUAACUGUGGGCUUGCGGUCGAUACGGGCAUCACUGGAGUUCGGCAGGGGAGACUGGAAUUCCUGGUGUAGCGGUGAAAUGCGCAGAUAUCAAGAGGAACACCGAUGGCGAAGGCGGGUCUCUGGGCCAUAACUGACGCUGAGGAGCGAAAGCGUGGGGAGCGAACAGG
RNAcentral lists this ribosomal RNA (254 nucleotides) under uncultured bacterium. Its description in RNAcentral is "partial 16S ribosomal RNA". It matches the Rfam family "Bacterial small subunit ribosomal RNA", at positions 524 to 776 of the family's 1533-position model. The record is from RNAcentral.